This 497-nucleotide ribosomal RNA is filed under the name uncultured bacterium. Its description in RNAcentral is "partial 16S ribosomal RNA". It matches the Rfam family "Bacterial small subunit ribosomal RNA", at positions 28 to 523 of the family's 1533-position model. The record is from RNAcentral.
GAUGAACGCUAGCUACAGGCUUAACACAUGCAAGUCGAGGGGUAGCAGGGUAGCAAUACCGCUGACGACCGGCGCACGGGUGAGUAACACGUAUCCAACCUUCCCAUAACUCGGGGAUAGCCUUUCGAAAGAAAGAUUAAUACCCGAUAGUACUUUUUCAAGGCAUCUUGAAAAAGUUAAAGAUUUAUUGGUUAUGGAUGGGGAUGCGUUCCAUUAGAUAGUUGGUGAGGUAACGGCUCACCAAGUCUUCGAUGGGUAGGGGUUCUGAGAGGAAGGUCCCCACAUUGGUACUGAGACACGGACCAAACUCCUACGGGAGGCAGCAGUGAGGAAUAUUGGUCAAUGGGCGAGAGCCUGAACCAGCCAAGUAGCGUGAAGGAUGAAGGUCCUAUGGAUUGUAAACUUCUUUUAUAGUAGAAUAAAGUGAUCCACGUGUGGAUUUUUGUAUGUAUACUAUGAAUAAGGAUCGGCUAACUCCGUGCCAGCCGCCGCGGUAA